This 460-nucleotide ribosomal RNA is filed under the name uncultured bacterium. Its description in RNAcentral is "partial 16S ribosomal RNA". It matches the Rfam family "Bacterial small subunit ribosomal RNA", at positions 338 to 795 of the family's 1533-position model. The record is from RNAcentral.
CCUACGGGUGUCAGCAGUGAGGAAUAUUGGUCAAUGGGCGAGAGCCUGAACCAGCCAAGUCGCGUGAAGGAUGAAGGACCUAUGGUUUGUAAACUUCUUUUAUAUGGGAAUAAAGUGAGGAACGUGUUCCUUUUUGUAUGUACCUUAUGAAUAAGCAUCGGCGAACUCCGUGCCAGCAGCCGCGGUAAUACGGAGAAUCCGAGCGUUAUCCGGAUUUAUUGAGUUUAAAGGGUGCGUAGGUGGUUAAUUAAGUCAGUUGUGAAAGUUUGUGGCUCAACCAUAAAAUUGCAGUUGAAACUGGUUGACUUGAGUAUAUUUGAGGUAGGCGGAAUGCGUGGUGUAGCGGUGAAAUGCAUAGAUAUCACGAAGAACUCCGAUUGCGAAGGCAGCUUACUAAACUAUCACUGACACUGAAGCACGAAAGCGUGGGGAUCAAACAGGAUUAGAUACCCGAGUAGUC